This is a long non-coding RNA of Etheostoma spectabile (orangethroat darter), 188 nucleotides long. RefSeq lists it as uncharacterized. The record is from RefSeq and is a predicted model, not a curated record. NCBI's taxonomy places the organism in Eukaryota, Metazoa, Chordata, Actinopteri, Perciformes, Percidae. The transcript has 3 exons.
UGUAUAUAAACUGAUGCUGAAGUCAAUCUCAUCAUCAUCUGAUCUGCUCAUCAGAGACUCAACAGACCCACUUCUCUCCUUCAUCUGAGCGUGACUUCAGUGAAACCUCCAGCCAUCAUGUCUCCAUCAAAGAGGAAGUUCAACCCCUUCAAGGGGCGAUACCCAGAGAAGGUGUCAACCUCCAACCU